UCUCGGCUUAUCACCGGCAGUCCCCCUAGAGUGCCCAACUGAAUGAUGGCAACUAAGGGCGAGGGUUGCGCUCGUUGCGGGACUUAACCCAACAUCUCACGACACGAGCUGACGACAGCCAUGCAGCACCUGUGUUCCGGUUCCCUUUCGGGCACACCCUGAUCUCUCAAGGCUUCCGGACAUGUCAAGGGUAGGUAAGGUUUUUCGCGUUGCAUCGAAUUAAACCACAUGCUCCACCGCUUGUGCAGGCCCCCGUCAAUUUCUUUGAGUUUUAACCUUGCGGCCGUACUCCCCAGGCGGAUGACUUAAUGCGUUAGCUGCGCCACCGAAACCCUAAGGGCCCCGACAGCUAGUCAUCAUCGUUUACGGCGUGGACUAC
Molecule: unclassified non-coding RNA, 379 nt
Filed under: uncultured Alphaproteobacteria bacterium
Lineage: Bacteria; Pseudomonadati; Pseudomonadota; Alphaproteobacteria
Description: contains 16S-23S intergenic spacer region
Source: RNAcentral